GGUAUGUGCCCUCAAGUUACUUGGUCUGAGCUUCUACCUUCUGUUCUAACACCUAUACAACCAGGUUGUUGAGAAGAUUAGACCAAAUAUGUGCGAAGACUCUCAUCAGUGAGGUGGCUUGUAAACUAUAAAUAAGCAUUUUUAAAUUUUGGAAAACAAACUCUGGAAAACUGAACAAGGAAUUUUGUGCUUCACCAUUCACUGCUGACUCCUUUUGCAUUAAGUCCAAACUAAUACCCCAACAGGUUGAUGGGUGAAAUUAUCCUACUGAACAUGUUUCAAAGACAGACAGGAUUAAGACCAUCAUUUUUUCACAGAA
This 319-nucleotide long non-coding RNA is filed under the name Pan troglodytes (chimpanzee). RNAcentral describes it as "long non-coding RNA NONPTRT015510". Lineage: Eukaryota; Metazoa; Chordata; Mammalia; Primates; Hominidae. The record is from RNAcentral.